GCGCUUGUAGUGUAAGGGUAUCAUAUCAAUUUCCCAUGUUGAUGAUUCGGGUUCGAGUCCCGGCGAGCGCA
This is a transfer RNA of Monoraphidium neglectum, 71 nucleotides long. It matches the Rfam family "tRNA". Rfam says of the family: Transfer RNA (tRNA) molecules are approximately 80 nucleotides in length. Their secondary structure includes four short double-helical elements and three loops (D, anti-codon, and T loops). The record is from Rfam. NCBI's taxonomy places the organism in Eukaryota, Viridiplantae, Chlorophyta, Chlorophyceae, Sphaeropleales, Selenastraceae.